This is a non-coding RNA of Manis javanica (Malayan pangolin), 703 nucleotides long. NCBI's taxonomy places the organism in Eukaryota, Metazoa, Chordata, Mammalia, Pholidota, Manidae. The record is from RefSeq and is a predicted model, not a curated record.
UCCUGCUGCUGAACUGGCUGUCACCUCCCUUGGGUCCAGGGACUCAGGCUGUGAGGUUUCCAGCAGCACCGGGAAUGAGCUGCCUAUGGUCCUCUCAUGAGCCCACUUUUAAUCUCAUUGACCUCUCGUUAUACUACAGCACAUAAAUUCAGAUUUGGAGAGCUUAUGUUCCAUCAUAAAUUGGGCUGGCAGACUUCCGAUCAACAAGAUAAAGCUGUCUCCUGUGAGCCCCGGAGUGAGCAGGCACUUCUGAGCCCCCAGGCUGGACACUCAAGGGCCAAUUUUUAGCCCAGCCUGCCGAUGGUGCAUCUCAGUGAGACCACGCACACCAGCACCCACAAGGAGGCUCUGCCUGGCCCUUCCGAGCCACUGGCACCCUGUUCCUCACCCGCUCUGCGUUCAGUUCAGCAGGAGUGCCUCCGAGCACAGUGGCCUUGGCAGCGCAGCAGGAGACCUGUGGGUCCGGGGCAUGUGCUUGUGUUCUAGGGACCCAGGGAGGUCUGAGAGGAGAGCGAAGCAACCCUGGAGACUUCUUCGAGAAGGGGAUGCUUCAAGAGAAGUCCUGAAGAUAAGAAGGUAGAAGCGGGGCUGAUGUCACCAGCCAAAUGGUUGGCAUAGCAACUGGACCCCUGGUACUUUUAGGGAUCACAAAAGCAUUUUAAUUUCAAUUUCUGUUAAAAUCAGAAGGAAAAGAGAAAAACAA